UCCUGCGCCAGAAUCGACAGGAAGCGCUCGCCGAGCUGAGCCACUCGGCCACUCUGCUGCGGGAGGUCGGGCUUCCCACCAGCACCGCGCUGGCCUUCAGCUCGGAGCGAGGACACGACUCCUACCGCAGGGCUGUGAGCUGCAGUUUGGACAGCCAGCAGAUCAGCGAGGACUUGAGCGUGGAGAGGACUGGGACGGAGGUCCGGGUGGAGUACCGCCUCGAUCACUCCGUGGGCUCCCUGCGGGGGUGGGGGGUGCCCGAAAACAACAGCGUCCAGGCCGAGCUGGACUUCGGUCAGGCGAGGCGUCUAUCUGUGCGCUCCCGGCUCGGCGAUCGGUUCGUCAGCCUCGGUGCUCGCCUCAAGGACGCGCCCGCGUGCACCGAGGUUGCUGGAGUCCUGGAGCACAGCUGGGCCUGGCUGCGGGAAAAAGGGCUCCCCAGCGCGGUGGAGGUGUUGUGCUCCAUACAGGGGUCUCUCCCGCAGCUCCAGGCCAGGGCUCACCUAUCUACAGAUGGAGAGAAGCUCCUGGCCUCUGCGCUGAAUGUUAGCUUAACUGGGGGUCGUCUCGCCCUGCUGCUCUCCCUGGCUGGACCCCCCCACCUCGUCCCGGGGCCACUCCGCGGCCUGGACGCUGCCGUCACUGCCCACUACAGAGGCAGCCAGAAGCACGCCUCUGUGGACCUGUACUGCAAUGGCACGCGAGUGCGGUUGGUGGGGGAGGCGACUGUCUGGGGAGCCGGCGGGCGGGAGGCCAGGGUUGCUCUGCAGCACAGCAGAGAGGGGGAGGACAAGCCCACAAUACAGGUGGAGGCCUGGGGGAGGCUGACCGAGACUCAGCUCCGGGGAUCUCUGGCGUGGAACCCCAAGACUAACUCCUCGCUGGCUAUCACAGUGCAGGGACACAACCUGCCGUCCAGAAAGGAGUUGAACUGCAAGGUACAUCAGAGCAUACCUGCAUUGCAGCUGUACCUGCCUCCCCAGCUUGACGCCAAGACACAGGUAAACCAUACAGGCUCAACACUGCACGGGUUCGCCGAGGUAAAACUAGGUGGCAACAAGCUACAGGCCCUGGGCGAACUGAGCAUCGCAGAAUCUGGGUACAAACAAGCAGUGGAGGUCAAGCACUCCUUCCCACAGCUGAAGUCCCUUCCCGGGAAUGUUGCGCUAAACUCGAUCUAUGAAGGAGGGAACCACACUUGCAGGCUGCAGCAGAGAGUCGUGUGGGGAGGUCAAGAGCUCAGUGUGUCAGGCCAGUACCUGAGCCUCGAGCAGGAAAGGGGCACUCGCAGGCUGCAAGGUAAGACACCCUCCAUUCUGGAGUUACACAGAUUAAAACCUUGAACUUCCUGAAAUAGAACAGCAUGAAGAAUUGGCUAAAGCACUGCCCCCUGUAAUGAAC
This 1401-nucleotide long non-coding RNA is filed under the name Scleropages formosus (Asian bonytongue). RNAcentral describes it as "lncRNA (ENSSFOG00015032004.1)". Lineage: Eukaryota; Metazoa; Chordata; Actinopteri; Osteoglossiformes; Osteoglossidae. The record is from RNAcentral.